CCAGAACUGAGAGAGAGAUGGAGAAGGAGGAGAAACAACAGGGCGGAUGCCAGAGAGAGGAGAGGGAGAAAUAAACGGAGGCCAAGAAGGAGUUUCUCAGACAGGAAGUGGAGACCAGUACUUUAGGAAGCCCUGCUGCUGCUGCUGCUGCUGCUGAGUGUCUAGAGCACCUGCAGUCCAGAUACUGGAUCUCUGCUCACCUGCACUCGACUCAACUCUGAUGCAGCACCAGGUUAAGAAAAAUGAAUAAUGCUGCCCCGAAGAUCAGCAAGUUUCUCUAAGUUGACCAAUGUCUUCAUUCUGAAGAUUGUGGAGGAACCUUCUAGGAGACGCUUGAGUUUGAUCCAGAAUGGCUGGCCAUCCUGAAAUGGACAGACAAACCUUCAGAAACCAUCCCGCAGUUGCUGGAACCCUCCGCUGGACAACAGACUACACAGCAGAUACAAAACACUUGACAAUGAUCACAAUUGCUCAUUUUCUGAAAGCUUUCUGAUACCACAUAUUCGUUUCUAUUUCUAAAUGUUUUAGCAUCCUGUUCCUCUGCUUCUUUCAGGUGGGAUUUCAGCCCUUCAGACAGACAUCUACGUCCUGGUGAAGGGCAAAGUGAACAGACUUACAGGGAGGAGUUUUUUCCACUUCCUUGAUGACUUGAAGUUUCAGAAGAACUGCAUUUACGGGAAUUAAAAAUGUAAGACAAUAUAAAUGACUUUAUCCUCACUUUUGUUCAAUGUAAAGUAUCCUUCCCUAAAUAAAACUGUUCAUUUUAAA
Non-coding RNA from Danio rerio (zebrafish), 768 nucleotides. NCBI's taxonomy places the organism in Eukaryota, Metazoa, Chordata, Actinopteri, Cypriniformes, Danionidae. The record is from RefSeq and is a predicted model, not a curated record.